UAAUGUCGCAUUUGGUAGGCGUAGCAAA
This 28-nucleotide small RNA is filed under the name Bombyx mori (domestic silkworm). Its description in RNAcentral is "ovarian small RNA-19836". Lineage: Eukaryota; Metazoa; Arthropoda; Insecta; Lepidoptera; Bombycidae. The record is from RNAcentral.